Molecule: long non-coding RNA, 1029 nt
Filed under: Salmo salar (Atlantic salmon)
Lineage: Eukaryota; Metazoa; Chordata; Actinopteri; Salmoniformes; Salmonidae
Description: lncRNA (ENSSSAG00000104033.1)
Source: RNAcentral
CUCCUUACCACAAUCAAUCAGUAUGGCAAAAAUAAUCUCUGCUCAGAGGGCCUUAGAAAUAAUUUUUGUAGAGAGAGAAAAUUAUUCUGGACUGCACUAAUUUGGAUGGAAGGCAUGUUUUUGGAGAGAGAUGCAUACUUUGGGGUUCUUAUCCUUGCUGGUGUUUUCAGAUCCAAUGGGAAAUCCAUCGAAUCCCUGUGGGAUGCAGAAACUGGCACAGAACUUUUCCAUGCAACAAUGUCUCUGGAAAACUUCACAUUAUUUCUAGGAUUAUCCACUUCGAUAACCAGGACACCAGACCAGCUCGGCGGUAGAGAGACAAGCUAACUGCAAUCAGGUCAGUGUGGGACAAGUGGGUGGACCACCUUCCCCUGUUUUACAACGCUGGGCCCAAUGUUACUGUUGAUGAGCAGCUCAUGCCAUUUAGGGGCCGCUGCCCCUUCAGGCGAUACAUACCGUCUAAACCCGCAAAAUAUUUAAUCAAGAUCUGGGCUGCCUGUGAUGCUGCUUCAUCAUAUGUGUGGAACUUUAAAAAAAAAAAAAUAUUUAACCUUAAUUAAACUAGGCAAGUCAGUUAAGAACAAAUUCUUGUUUACAUUGACGGCCUACCCCGGCCAAACCCGGACAACGCUGGGCCAAUUGUACGCCACCCUAUGGGACUCCCAAUCACGGCCGGAAGUGAUGCAGAUUGGAUUGGAAGAGGAGCUGGGCAAGGCAUUGGUAAGACCACAAAUCCAGAGGAGGCAUCAGAUCCCAAGGACCCCAGCUUCUGCAGCCAUCAUGAGGAGGAUUCAGGAGGAGGAUGCUGGUGCCCCAUUCCCCCGACCCACAGAACCAACAACUCCAAUACAGUAUGUAUUGCUGCCGGUAGCAACAAGAAGAAGUGCUGUGAUGUGUGUGGACCCAAGAAGGACAGGAAGACACAGUACACAUGCAUCAAGUGCAGUAAAUACAUUUGCAACACACACACAGUAAAACUCUGUCCCUCAUGUGGUGUGUAGACCGGCCAUAAUUUGUGUUCAAUGGGGC